GCUGUCAGACCAUAAGCUACGCCAAGGUAACUUUAAUUAGCAGGCAGACCUCACUCCUCUUCCUUAUAACAUCGCACCACCACCACCACCACCACCAACUUUAAUUAGCGCCUCAAGGCGCUGUUUGUUAAAACCGCUACAAAACACUCCUUAUCGGCAAUCAUCUGCGUUUGCUUUCCGGCUUCCUGUGGCAAUAAUGUGAACAUGCCAUGCAAAUGCGCCGUAGAGGACUGUAAUCGAAGGUGGAACAGAGGAUAAGGAGUACCUUUCCACAAGUCUCCAGAAUUCCACACCCUUUGCACUUGCGCUGACACCUUUCCAGCUUGCAUAUGCUAUGUACAUAUAAAUGAAUCGGUGUUUCAGACGGAGCUGAAAUAUGUGAAUGUUACUUUGGUGUAACAACUAUUCCGUGUUAGGCGGUACUUAAAGUAUCUAACAUUGAAAUGAGUAUUUGUAUUUUAUUCUAAGUACUUUUCAAUGUGUGUACUUGGUACUGUGCUCCUAGUACUUUUACCCAGCGUGUUCUCAUCAAAUCGGGGCAUUUGGGAGAACGGAAGGCAGUGUUGACAAGCUUUGCAAGUUGAGAAGACAUAACUACUGCGCUACUUUUAGUCCUUCAGCAAUCCAAAGUCAGGACCAUAAAAAUUUUCAGACGUGUUGUGCUAUACUAAAUGCAGUAGCUUAUUUUUGAAUAAAAUCAUGUUCACCAUC
Molecule: long non-coding RNA, 711 nt
Organism: Ornithodoros turicata
Lineage: Eukaryota; Metazoa; Arthropoda; Arachnida; Ixodida; Argasidae
Exons: 2
Source: RefSeq, a predicted model, not a curated record